This 305-nucleotide ribosomal RNA is filed under the name uncultured bacterium. RNAcentral's name for it is "bacterial SSU rRNA". It matches the Rfam family "Bacterial small subunit ribosomal RNA", at positions 335 to 638 of the family's 1533-position model. The record is from RNAcentral.
UACCUACGGGACGCAGCAGUGAGGAAUAUUGGUCAAUGGCCGGAAGGCUGAACCAGCCAAGCCGCGUGAAGGACGAAGGUGCCAAGCAUUGUAAACUUCUUUUGUCAAGGGACAAAAUCAGGCUCGAGAGCCUGACCGAGGGUACUUGAAGAAAAAGCAUCGGCUAACUCCGUGCCAGCAGCCGCGGUAAUACGUAGGGGGCAAGCGUUAUCCGGAUUUACUGGGUGUAAAGGGAGCGUAGGUGGCAGGGCAAGUCAGAUGUGAAAACCCGGGGCUCAACUCCGGGAGUGCAUUUGAAACUGUCC